This is a long non-coding RNA of Gallus gallus (chicken), 392 nucleotides long. RefSeq lists it as uncharacterized. The transcript has 3 exons. The record is from RefSeq and is a predicted model, not a curated record. NCBI's taxonomy places the organism in Eukaryota, Metazoa, Chordata, Aves, Galliformes, Phasianidae.
ACUGUGAAGUAUCCCCACUUUGCAGUGAGCAGUCCAAGACAGAAACAAACUAAUGUCAACUGCUCAGUAUGCAGGGUUUCCCUGGAGAGGUUCACAAAUAGAGGCACAGUGAAAGCCACACAGGUGAAAGAAGAGACAGAAUUCAAAAGAGGAUGGCACCAUGCCUCUGAGAUCAGGCCAAGCAUUACAAAAUGCACUUACAACCACUGUAAAAAACACCUCCUUUGUAUCAGAGCGGUGGUUCCCAUUGCUCCUCCAGCAGCCUAACUCAGAAGCUGCAGAGACUCUAGGCAUGCUGCUGCAGAGUUUGUGCAGUUACGGAAACUGACAUCUAUCAAUCCAAAGAUUAGCCAACCCCAAGAAGACCAUCAAAUAAAGUUUGCUAGCAGACU